Molecule: transfer RNA, 72 nt
Filed under: Camelus dromedarius (Arabian camel)
Lineage: Eukaryota; Metazoa; Chordata; Mammalia; Artiodactyla; Camelidae
Also listed under: 1 other name
Rfam family: tRNA
About the family: Transfer RNA (tRNA) molecules are approximately 80 nucleotides in length. Their secondary structure includes four short double-helical elements and three loops (D, anti-codon, and T loops).
Source: Rfam by way of RNAcentral
GAGGGUGUAACUCAGGGGUAGAGUGCGUGCUUAGCAUGCACAAGGUCCUGAGCUCAAUUCCCAGUAUCUCUG